GUUCGUAGGUGACUGCGGAGGAUCAUUAGUGAUUGACCUUCGGGUCUUAAUAACUAUAAUCUUCUACCUCUGUGAACCGUUGGUCUUCGGACCGAUUCUUAUAACAAACAUCUGUGUAAUGAACGUAACCUAUAUUAAUCAUAUAAAACUUUUAACAACGGAUCUCUUGGCUCUCGCAUCGAUGAAGAACGCAGCGAAAUGCGAUAAGUAAUGUGAAUUGCAGAAUUCAGUGAAUCAUCGAAUCUUUGAACGCACCUUGCGCCUUUUGGUAUUCCGAAAGGCAUGCCUGUUUGAGUGUCAUGAAAUAUCAACCCCUCCUGGUUUCUGAUCAGUGUUGGGCUUGGACUUGGGUGUCUGCCAGGACUUGUCCUGGCUCGCCUUAAAUGACUUAGUGGGAAUAGCAUCCACGGCUAAGACGUAAUAAGUUUCGUCUGGUCAAGGUGUGAAGCCUGCUCAUAACCCGACCGCAAGGUCACUAUUUAUGCUCUGACCUCAAAUCAGGUAGGACUACCCGCUGAACUUAAGCAUAUCAAUAAGCGGAGGAAAAGAAACUAACAAGGAUUCCCCUAGUAACGGCGAGCGAACAGGGAAGAGCUCAAAUUUGAAAUCUGGCGUCCUCCGGGCGUCCGAGUUGUAAUCUAUAGAGACGUUUUCCGUGCCGGACCGUGUCCAAGUUCCUUGGAACAGGAUAUCAAAGAGGGUGACAAUCCCGUACUUGACACGACGACCGGUGCUCUGUGAUACGUUUUCUACGAGUCGAGUUGUUUGGGAAUGCAGCUCAAAAUGGGUGGUGAGUUCCAUCUAAAGCUAAAUAUUGGCGAGAGACCGAUAGCGAACAAGUACCGUGAGGGAAAGAUGAAAAGCACUUUGGAAAGAGAGUUAAACAGUACGUGAAAUUGUUAAAAGGGAAACGAUUGAAGUCAGUCGUGUCUGGGAGGCUCAGCCGGUUCUGCCGGUGUAUUCCUCUCAGACGGGUCAACAUCAGUUUUGUCCGACGGAUAAUGGCGGCAGGAAAGUAGCACCCUCGGGUGUGUUAUAGCCUGUUGUCGCAUACGCCGGAUGAGACUGAGGAAUGCAGCUCGCCUUUAUGGCCGGGGUUCGCCCACGUUCGAGCUUAAGA
This 1120-nucleotide ribosomal RNA is filed under the name Bullera unica. RNAcentral describes it as "eukaryotic LSU rRNA". The stretch from base 488 to 1120 matches the Rfam family "Eukaryotic large subunit ribosomal RNA", at positions 1 to 618 of the family's 3401-position model. Lineage: Eukaryota; Fungi; Basidiomycota; Tremellomycetes; Tremellales; Bulleraceae. The record is from RNAcentral.